Non-coding RNA from Camellia sinensis, 495 nucleotides. The record is from RefSeq and is a predicted model, not a curated record. Lineage: Eukaryota; Viridiplantae; Streptophyta; Magnoliopsida; Ericales; Theaceae.
UACAUUCAAUUCAAAGCAAAUUGAGAGAUAUAUUACUUUGAUCUUCAUCCUUCGUCUGUUUAGGCUUCAACUCAACUAAUUCUGCACAAAUGAACUCUCACUCUAUGGCUUUCCUUUUCUUCGCUCUUCUUCUUGUCACAGUUGAAUGCAAUUCAGAAGGGGAUGCUCUGAAUGCUUGGAAGAUUAAUUUGGCAGAUCCAAACAAUGUCCUCCAGAGUUGGGACCCAACACUGGUUAAUCCAUGUACCUGGUUUCACAUUACUUGCAACAAUAUGAACAGCGUGAUUAGAGUGUAGGUGCCCUUUCUUGGUUGGUUUGAUUAGUUUUCAUCUAAUUAGUGACUUUGAAACAUGAUUAAGCAACGCUAAAAUAUACCGAGAAAAUUCAUUGUGUUGGGUCUAUCCCACAUCAACUCGGGAGUGACUCCUCGUCUACCUUAUAAGCAUACUGGCUCCCUCCAUCUGUCAACAACAGGCCUUUUCCCCUCUUUCAGGG